RNAcentral lists this ribosomal RNA (249 nucleotides) under uncultured bacterium. RNAcentral describes it as "partial 16S ribosomal RNA". It matches the Rfam family "Bacterial small subunit ribosomal RNA", at positions 57 to 305 of the family's 1533-position model. The record is from RNAcentral.
GCAAGUCGAGGGGCAGCAUUUACUUCGGUAAGAUGGCGACCGGCGCACGGGUGAGUAACGCGUAUGCAACCUACCUUAUACUGGGGGAUAGCCCAGAGAAAUCUGGAUUAAUACCGCAUAACAAUCAUGAUUCGCAUGUUUUAUGAUUUAAAACUCCGGUGGUAUAAGAUGGGCAUGCGUAGCAUUAGUUAGUUGGUAAGGUAACGGCUUACCAAGACAAUGAUGCUUAGGGGGUCUGAGAGGAUAGUC